GACAGAGGGGGCAAGCGUUGCUCGGAAUCACUGGGCGUAAAGAGCUCGUAGGCGGCUUGUCACGUCGGGUGUGAAAGCCCGGGGCUUAACCCCGGGUCUGCAUUCGAUACGGGCUAGCUAGAGUGUGGUAGGGGAGAUCGGAAUUCCUGGUGUAGCGGUGAAAUGCGCAGAUAUCAGGAGGAACACCGGUGGCGAAGGCGGAUCUCUGGGCCAUUACUGACGCUGAGGAGCGAAAGCGUGGGGAGCGAACAGG
RNAcentral lists this ribosomal RNA (253 nucleotides) under uncultured bacterium. Its description in RNAcentral is "partial 16S ribosomal RNA". It matches the Rfam family "Bacterial small subunit ribosomal RNA", at positions 524 to 776 of the family's 1533-position model. The record is from RNAcentral.